Molecule: ribosomal RNA, 374 nt
Filed under: uncultured organism
Description: bacterial SSU rRNA
Rfam family: Bacterial small subunit ribosomal RNA
Source: RNAcentral
CGGGGGGAGCAAGCGUUGUUCGGAUUUACUGGGCGUAAAGGGCGCGUAGGCGGCCACCGCAAGUCGACUGUGAAAUCUCCGGGCUUAACUCGGAAAGGUCAGCCGAUACUGCGGGGCUAGAGUGCAGAAGGGGCAACUGGAAUUCUCGGUGUAGCGGUGAAAUGCGUAGAUAUCGAGAGGAACACCUGCGGCGAAGGCGGGUUGCUGGGCUGACACUGACGCUGAUGCGCGAAAGCUAGGGGAGCGAACGGGAUUAGAUACCCCGGUAGUCCUAGCCUUAAACGAUGAAUGCUUGGUGUCUGGGGUUUUAUAGUCCCCGGGUGCCGUCGCUAACGCUUUAAGCAUUCCGCCUGGGGAGUACGGUCGCAAGACUG